Long non-coding RNA from Cimex lectularius (bed bug), 881 nucleotides. RefSeq lists it as uncharacterized. The transcript has 3 exons. NCBI's taxonomy places the organism in Eukaryota, Metazoa, Arthropoda, Insecta, Hemiptera, Cimicidae. The record is from RefSeq and is a predicted model, not a curated record.
UGGAUAAACCAGUCAACUAUUUUUUUUUCUGACUAAUUCUGUUCCAAAUUUUUCAAGAUUGAAUAAAUAUGUCAUCUGACGACCCGUCGAAUUUGGCAAAGUAUGGAUGUUUCUUUAUUUUCUUCUGUUUUUUUAACCUAAUAAAAAAAAUUAAUGUUUGUUUUUCAAUCAUUGAUCCUCAAUAUGCAAUUAUUCUCUUUAUACUUUUUUUAUUUAUUUUACUGCUUAUGACAAUAAAGAGCCCCCAUGACAGAGCAACAACGCAAUGUCUUGGAAAUCCGUUCUGUCCAGAAUAACACAUUAAGGUUUGCCAAACGGGAGUCGUCCACACUACAUGAAACCUCUAAGUCCUUCAGCUGGAGUUCUUACUUGAGCUUAUCUGUGUUGAAAGUCGAGGACGGCAGAAGUUAAAAAUAAAGGGGCCGGGCGCUCUGGUCUCUAGACUGGCUACGCUUAAUCUCUUUUCAACAUAACACGCUGUCUAUAUUGUUCCUGGAAUGUCCCAGAAACUACAAGCAGAAACGCCACUUGUUGACCCACUUGAAAUUUGAAUGUGGCAAAGAGCCGAAGUUAUUCUGCCAGUACUACCCUAACAAGACGGGGCUCGAGUCCUCAAAGUCCCGCUUCACGCUGAAGCACUAGAACAUUUUGAUUUAAGCUGUUUGUUCCAGGAAGGCACCAAUGUCCAAAAUGUCCCAGAAACUACAAGUGGAAGUACGACUUGUUGGCCCACUUGAGGGUGGAGUGUGGCAAAGAGCCGAAGUUUUCCUGCCAGUUCUGCCCUUACAAGGCAAAGCGCAAGUCCUCUUUGAAGUCCCACAUCGCACUGAAGCACUCGAACAUUUCAAUUUAAGCUAUAAGCCCGUCAAAUAUUUUUUUGU